Molecule: ribosomal RNA, 433 nt
Filed under: uncultured bacterium
Lineage: Bacteria
Description: partial 16S ribosomal RNA
Rfam family: Bacterial small subunit ribosomal RNA
Source: RNAcentral
AACGAACGCUGGCGGCAUGCCUAACACAUGCAAGUCGAACGAGACCUUCGGGUCUAGAGGCGCACGGGUGCGUAACGCGUGGGAACCUGCCCUUAGGUUCGGAAUAACUCCCCGAAAGGGGUGCUAAUACCGGAUAAUGUCUUCGGACCAAAGAUUUAUCGCCUUUGGAUGGGCCCGCGUUGGAUUAGCUAGUUGGUAGGGUAAAAGCCUACCAAGGCGACGAUCCAUAGCUGGUCUGAGAGGAUGAUCAGCCACACUGGGACUGAGACACGGCCCAGACUCCUACGGGAGGCAGCAGUGGGGAAUAUAGGACAAUGGGCGAAAGCCUGAUCCAGCAAUGCCGCGUGAGUGAUGAAGGCAUUAGGGUUGUAAAGCUCUUUUACCCGGGAUGAUAAUGACAGUACCGGGAGAAUAAGCUCCGGCUAACUCCGUG